AUUUGAUCAGCAACACCUGGCUGCUGUGUAUGUAGUUUUUCACACAUGGCUUCAGCAUUUUAGCAGAUUAAAAAAAAAUGAUAUACUUGAAUCUGUUGUGUGUUGUUCUACACCUGAGCUUAAAGUUACCUAAUUUUAGGACCUGCCAGCUGCCUACCUGGUAAUGGAGCCUGGAGGUGACACUGCUGAUUCUUCAGAUGUCUCUCAAGCCUCCUUCCACAACUCCGACCCUCUACAAGCUGCAGGGCUCUAAGGGUCGUCUGUCAUGGCCGCUGCUACAGCAGAUUCCUUACCAAAGCUUCCCCAUGUGCCGUCGGCAAUCCAAAAGAGCCGCAAGCAAGUUCAAGCCUCAAACGACCAUCACCUUAUCAAUAAAUCAUUUAAAUGCC
Myripristis murdjan (pinecone soldierfish) is the source of this 389-nucleotide long non-coding RNA. RefSeq lists it as uncharacterized. The transcript has 3 exons. The record is from RefSeq and is a predicted model, not a curated record. Lineage: Eukaryota; Metazoa; Chordata; Actinopteri; Holocentriformes; Holocentridae.